CCUACGGGAGGCUGCAGUGGGGAAUUUUGGACAAUGGGGGCAACCCUGAUCCAGCCAUGCCGCGUGAGUGAAGAAGGCCUUCGGGUUGUAAAGCUCUUUCAGCAGGAACGAAACGGUGGCCACUAAUACUGGCUACUAAUGACGGUACCUGAAGAAGAAGCACCGGCUAACUACGUGCCAGCAGCCGCGGUAAUACGUAGGGUGCGAGCGUUAAUCGGAAUUACUGGGCGUAAAGCGUGCGCAGGCGGUUCCAUAAGACAGAUGUGAAAUCCCCGGGCUUAACCUGGGAACUGCGUUUGUGACUGUGGGACUCGAGUGUGGCAGAGGGGGGUGGAAUUCCACGUGUAGCAGUGAAAUGCGUAGAGAUGUGGAGGAACACCGAUGGCGAAGGCAGCCCCCUGGGUCAACACUGACGCUCAUGCACGAAAGCGUGGGGAGCAAACAGGCUUAGAUACCCCGGUAGUC
This 465-nucleotide ribosomal RNA is filed under the name uncultured Sulfuritalea sp. Its description in RNAcentral is "bacterial SSU rRNA". It matches the Rfam family "Bacterial small subunit ribosomal RNA", at positions 338 to 795 of the family's 1533-position model. Lineage: Bacteria; Pseudomonadati; Pseudomonadota; Betaproteobacteria; Nitrosomonadales; Sterolibacteriaceae. The record is from RNAcentral.